AUUGAACGCUGGCGGAAUGCUUUACACAUGCAAGUCGAACGGCAGCACGGACUUCGGUCUGGUGGCGAGUGGCGAACGGGUGAGUAACGUAUCGGAACGUGCCCAGUCGUGGGGGAUAACGUAGUGAAAAUUACGCUAAUACCGCAUACGAUCUAUGGAUGAAAGCGGGGGAUCGCAAGACCUCGCGCGAUUGGAGCGGCCGAUAUCAGAUUAGGUAGUUGGUGGGGUAAAGGCCCACCAAGCCAACGAUCUGUAGCUGGUCUGAGAGGACGACCAGCCACACUGGAACUGAGACACGGUCCAGACUCCUACGGGAGGCAGCUGUGGGGAGUUUUGGACAAUGGGCGAAAGCCUGAUCCAGCCAUUCCGCGUGCAGGAUGAAGGCCCUCGGGUUGUAAACUGCUUUUGUACAGAACGAAAAGGUUUCUACUAAUACUAGGAGCUCAUGACGGUACUGUAAGAAUAAGCACCGGCUAACUACGUGCCAGCAGCCGCAGUAA
This 500-nucleotide ribosomal RNA is filed under the name uncultured bacterium. RNAcentral's name for it is "partial 16S ribosomal RNA". It matches the Rfam family "Bacterial small subunit ribosomal RNA", at positions 30 to 523 of the family's 1533-position model. The record is from RNAcentral.